Molecule: small nucleolar RNA, 107 nt
Organism: Cannabis sativa
Lineage: Eukaryota; Viridiplantae; Streptophyta; Magnoliopsida; Rosales; Cannabaceae
Source: RefSeq, a predicted model, not a curated record
AUCCCAUGAUGUGGACAUUUCUUGAUUAGAUCCUUGAACCUCUCCCAAGCCUCAUGGAGAGAUUCAUUGUCUAGCUAAUAGAAAAUAUUAAUUUCUCCUCGCAGCUU